RNAcentral lists this ribosomal RNA (492 nucleotides) under uncultured bacterium. RNAcentral describes it as "partial 16S ribosomal RNA". It matches the Rfam family "Bacterial small subunit ribosomal RNA", at positions 29 to 507 of the family's 1533-position model. The record is from RNAcentral.
AGUGAACGCUGGCGGUAGGCCUAACACAUGCAAGUCGAACGGCAGCACAGUAAGAGCUUGCUCUUACGGGUGGCGAGUGGCGGACGGGUGAGCAAUACAUCGGAAUCUACUCUUUCUUGGGGGAUAACGUAGGGAAACUUACGCUAACACCGCAUACGACCUACGGGUUAAAACAGGGGAUCUUCGGACCUUGCGCGACUGAAUCAGUCGAUGUCGGAUUAGCUAGUUGGCGGGGUAAAGGCCCACCAAGGCGACGAUCCGUAGCUGGUCUGAGAGGAUGAUCAGCCACACUGGAACUGAGACACGGUCCAGACUCCUACGGGAGGCAGCAGUGGGGAAUAUUGGACGAUGGGCGAGAGCCUGAUCCAGCCAUACCGCGUGGGUGAAGAAGGCCUUCGGGUUGUAAAGCCCUUUUGUUGGGAAAGAAAAGCAGCAGGUUAAUACCCCGAUGUUCUGACGGUACCCAAAGAAUAAGCACCGGCUAACUACGUG